This is a non-coding RNA of Mycena latifolia, 93 nucleotides long. Lineage: Eukaryota; Fungi; Basidiomycota; Agaricomycetes; Agaricales; Mycenaceae. The record is from the annotation of a GenBank genome assembly.
GACCUGGUGGCGAAUGGUAUCGCGCCCGCACCCGGUAGCUCAUCCCCCCACUUUCUAGCGCGGGAGAGGUUGGUUCGAAUCCAGCCCCGGUCG